AAAGUAUCGGAAAAAAAAUAUCAUAGCUUUGGUGGAAAUCUCAUCAACCAUUCAAACUAAUAAAUUUCAUAAUUUGUUGUUUUAUUGUAAAGACAAUAUCCAAAAUGCAUUUACAAGCAUGAGUGUAAGUCCCCCAAACUUUUUUUUAUUG
Molecule: long non-coding RNA, 151 nt
Organism: Telopea speciosissima
Lineage: Eukaryota; Viridiplantae; Streptophyta; Magnoliopsida; Proteales; Proteaceae
Exons: 3
Source: RefSeq, a predicted model, not a curated record